GUGCUCGCUUCAGCAGCACAUAUAUGAAAAUUGGAACGAUACAGAGAUUAGCAUGGCCCCUGCUCAAGGAUGACAUGCAAAUUCAUGAAGCAUUCCAUAUUUUA
Molecule: small nuclear RNA, 104 nt
Organism: Cebus imitator (Panamanian white-faced capuchin)
Lineage: Eukaryota; Metazoa; Chordata; Mammalia; Primates; Cebidae
Source: RefSeq, a predicted model, not a curated record